This 254-nucleotide ribosomal RNA is filed under the name uncultured bacterium. Its description in RNAcentral is "partial 16S ribosomal RNA". It matches the Rfam family "Bacterial small subunit ribosomal RNA", at positions 524 to 776 of the family's 1533-position model. The record is from RNAcentral.
UACGUAGGGGCCUAGCGUUGUCCGGAUUUAUUGGGCGUAAAGAGCUCGUAGGCGGUUUGGUGAGUCGGGUGUGAAAUCUCCACGCUCAACGUGGAGGGGCCACCCGAUACUGCCAUGACUAGAGUCCGGUAGGGGAGUGUGGAAUUCCCGGUGUAGCGGUGAAAUGCGCAGAUAUCAGGAGGAACACCCGUGGCGAAAGCGGCUCUCUGGGACGGUACUGACGCUGAGACGCGAAAGCGUGGGGAGCAAACAGG